UUUCCGACCACUUUUUGUGAUCGGUUUUGGGUGGUCAGUUUUUCCGAAUAUUUUUUAGUAGUGUAUAUGGCUGAAAAAAAUUCAAACUGCAAGAGACAAGAACAGAUGCACAGACCUUAUCAUCAAUAUAAGUGGCCCAAAAUCUUGCAAUGGCACGAUCAUAAGGAUGAGAAGGGAGAAUAGAAGGACCAGAAUUAGUACAAUUUUCAUCAAUAUAAUGAACAGUGAUUAAAGAUUCCACAAAUUGGCUUUCCAUCAUGAAUUAGAACAGGAAUUUUCUUGUAAACUGGAUCUGAUUUAAGGAUAAUUUCACUUUUAGUACCAAAUUGUUCUUCCAAGAAAUCAUAGGCCAAAGAUUUGAUGUUAAGUGCUAUACGUGGCCUCGUGACAUAUGGACUUGUCCAUGCACCUAAUAUUUUCAAAUCAACAUUUUUAGCCAUGAAUAUAUCAUCAAAGAACACACAAGAAAUAAAGAUGCAAUGGAAUGAUAUCCAUCUUAUUUAGGAGUAUAUAGAAUAGGUGGUUUCGAUAUGGUGCUAACUUGUCAACAAAUUGUAGAGUUAAAGGGCAUAUUCGACUUUUUAAAAAUUAUCUGUGAAUCAUGUCUUUUAGCUCACCCCUAAAGAGCCACGUAUUGUUUUUGCUUUCUUUUGAGCAUGUUUCAUUCUCCUUCUCUAUCUAUCUAAUUUCAAUUCAAUCUGAAAUUUUCCUGCAUAAAUUUGAAAGACUGUGCAGCAACAAUGCAUCAGAAUGAGCAAUAAUCCUUUUUGAAGAAAGAGCAAACCAGGCUUUUUAUGCAUGCGAGUUUGUGCCGAUUUUCUUGGUGACGGAAUUUGGAGAUAUUUUCUGGUUAUUUUAUUUUGAUUUUUGGAUUUUACUUUAAGCUUUGGUGACCUAUUGAUUGCUCGUCUGUAGUGGUAUUUGUUAUUUGACUAUAAAUUAGAGCUCCGUAAAGUUCUCGACUCUUUAUGUUUUUUGAAGUUUGAUGCGUAUCAAUCUAUCUUUUACUUAUUUCAAAUAUCUAUUCUUAUUCUUCCUCUUUUGAAUUUAGUGCAAAUAUUCUUCUAAAAAUUGUACGGGAACAUAUAAAAACAUAUGUCACCUCAUCAAAAAUUUUGUUAUUAUCUUUUAAAAUUUUCCUUAAAAAGGUGGAUAGAAAUCUUGCGCAAGGGGGCUUUGUUACAAGGAUGAAGUUUCCUUCUUGUUGAACAUAUUUAUCUUUCGCGGUGUUAGGAGAGUUGUUUCUCGACUUAUGUUUUGGUCUUUAUAGUAAUUGUUUACAUAUGUCUUGGAGAGUGGAGAGACAAGAAUUUCUAGGGAAGUAGAGGCCCAUGAGAAGAGGAUCAGGAGAGAGCUUGAGAAGCAAGACAUGUUACGAAGAAAGGUCUCUCCUAUUCAUCACGAAAUAUUCUGUUCGGGAGUUGGAAUGGAUGUGUUCUCUACUUGCAAUCCUUUUAAUUUCUGUGAUACAUAACAACUAAUGAACACUGCAACUGUGCUAAUCUACAAAGUAUCUAGAUUGUGUAUACAGUUUAAGCAUCACACAAACUAGGCAACUAUCUAUACCAGUGGGUAUGUUCUAUUUGCAUGAGAAAUGUGAAUGAAACAUAAGAGGAUUUAUGACCUUGAGUCCUUGACCAAAAAAAAAAAGUAUGGCUAGUUACUUUUUUUUU
Capsicum annuum is the source of this 1673-nucleotide long non-coding RNA. RefSeq lists it as uncharacterized. The transcript is spliced from 2 exons. The record is from RefSeq and is a predicted model, not a curated record. Lineage: Eukaryota; Viridiplantae; Streptophyta; Magnoliopsida; Solanales; Solanaceae.